This 497-nucleotide ribosomal RNA is filed under the name uncultured bacterium. RNAcentral describes it as "partial 16S ribosomal RNA". It matches the Rfam family "Bacterial small subunit ribosomal RNA", at positions 28 to 507 of the family's 1533-position model. The record is from RNAcentral.
GAUGAACGCUGGCGGCGUGCCUAAUACAUGCAAGUCGAGCGAACAGACGAGGAGCUUGCUCCUCUGACGUUAGCGGCGGACGGGUGAGUAACACGUGGAUAACCUACCUAUAAGACUGGGAUAACUUCGGGAAACCGGAGCUAAUACCGGAUAAUAUAUUGAACCGCAUGGUUCAAUAGUGAAAGACGGUUUUGCUGUCACUUAUAGAUGGAUCCGCGCCGCAUUAGCUAGUUGGUAAGGUAACGGCUUACCAAGGCAACGAUGCGUAGCCGACCUGAGAGGGGGAUCGGCCACACUGGAACUGAGCCACGGUCCAGACUCCUACGGGAGGCAGCAGUAGGGAAUCUUCCGCAAUGGGCGAAAGCCUGACGGAGCAACGCCGCGUGAGUGAUGAAGGUCUUCGGAUCGUAAAACUCUGUUAUUAGGGAAGAACAAAUGUGUAAGUAACUAUGCACGUCUUGACGGUACCUAAUCAGAAAGCCACGGCUAACUACGUG